UACGUAGGGUGCGAGCGUUGUCCGGAAUUAUUGGGUGUAAAGAGCUCGUAGGCGGUGUGUCGCGUCGGUCGUGAAAACUUGGGGCUUAACUCUGAGCUUGCGGUCGAUACGGGCAUCACUGGAGUUCGGCAGGGGAGACUGGAAUUCCUGGUGUAGCGGUGAAAUGCGCAGAUAUCAGGAGGAACACCGGUGGCGAAGGCGGGUCUCUGGGCCGAUACUGACGCUGAGGAGCGAAAGCGUGGGGAGCGAACAGG
Molecule: ribosomal RNA, 254 nt
Filed under: uncultured bacterium
Lineage: Bacteria
Description: partial 16S ribosomal RNA
Rfam family: Bacterial small subunit ribosomal RNA
Source: RNAcentral